CUGGGAUACUGGAGGUCCGCCGCGCGCCUCCUGUGGGGUUAGCAGCCCUUCAGUUGGAAAGGCUGCUCGUGUUCUUGUCUGUGUUGUACCUCUGCGGCCUUAACGCGAGUCUCUGAAAUGACAAACUGGAUGUCAGGGAAGAAAUGGUGAGGGGCUGCUUAAUGGCCAAUAUCUGGAGAAAGGACCAAUUUCAAAGGCAUCUUCGUUUUGACUUCGGAAGGACACAGACAUUUAAGCAGCAUCAGUCAUGUUCCAAGCACUGGAAAAUACACAGAUGAGCAAGUCCCAGACCUCAAGAAGAAUAUAACUUCAGGAA
This is a long non-coding RNA of Pipistrellus kuhlii (Kuhl's pipistrelle), 316 nucleotides long. RefSeq lists it as uncharacterized. NCBI's taxonomy places the organism in Eukaryota, Metazoa, Chordata, Mammalia, Chiroptera, Vespertilionidae. The transcript has 3 exons. The record is from RefSeq and is a predicted model, not a curated record.